Molecule: ribosomal RNA, 408 nt
Filed under: uncultured bacterium
Lineage: Bacteria
Description: partial 16S ribosomal RNA
Rfam family: Bacterial small subunit ribosomal RNA
Source: RNAcentral
GACGAACGCUGGCGGCGUGCUUAACACAUGCAAGUCGAACGAAGUGGAGAACGGGUGAGUAAUACGUGGGUAACCUGCCCUCCUUUUUGGGAUAAGCCUUGGAAACGGGGUCUAAUACCGCAUAAAGGGGGUUGGGCUCGGGGCCUAUCAGCUUGUUGGUGGGGUGAUGGCCUACCAAGGCGGUGACGGGUAGCCGGCCUGAGAGGGUGACCGGCAACAUGGGGACUGGGAUACGGCCCAGAGUCUGACGGGAGGCAGCAGUGGGCGAGAUUGCACAAUGGGCGAAAGCCUGAUGCAGCGACGCCGCGUGGGGGAUGAAGGCUUUCGGGUUGUAAACCUCUUUCGCGAUCGAAAGGGUAGGUGGAGAAGAAGCGCCGGCUAACUACGUGCCAGCAGCCGCGGUAAUAC